This is a transfer RNA of 99 nucleotides. It matches the Rfam family "tRNA". Rfam says of the family: Transfer RNA (tRNA) molecules are approximately 80 nucleotides in length. Their secondary structure includes four short double-helical elements and three loops (D, anti-codon, and T loops).
GCCGGCGUUGCGGAGCUCGGUUUAACGCACCAGCCUCGAGAGCUGGAGCCCGUAAGGGCACGCAGGUUCAAAUGCUUGAAAUUCCUGCCGCCGGCGCCA